This 1141-nucleotide ribosomal RNA is filed under the name uncultured Cercozoa. RNAcentral's name for it is "bacterial SSU rRNA". It matches the Rfam family "Eukaryotic small subunit ribosomal RNA", at positions 84 to 1222 of the family's 1831-position model. Lineage: Eukaryota; Cercozoa. The record is from RNAcentral.
AAACUGCAGAUGGCUCAUUAUAUCAGUUAUAGUCUAUUUGAUGAUUGUGAGAAAUUGCUAUAUGGAUACCUGUAGUAAUUCUAGAGCUAAUACAUGCAUGAGGAUGUUGCAUUUUGCGACAUUGUAUUUGUUGGAUACCAAAACUAACUUUUCGUUAUGGAAUCACAAUAACUUUUCGAAUCGCAGUGGCAUUAACUUGCGGCGAUGUGUCAUUCGAAUUUCUGCCCUAUCAGCUUUCGACGGUAGUGUAGUGGACUACCGUGGCGUUAACGGGUGACGGAGAAUUGGGGUUCGGUUCCGGAGAGGGAGCCUGAGAAACGGCUACCACAUCUAAGGUAGGCAGCAGGCGCGCAACUUACCCAAUCCUAAUUCAGGGAGGUAGUGACAAGAAAUAACAACACCGGGCCUUUUUGGGUGUGGUGAUUGGAAUGAGAACAAUUUAAACUCGUUAUCGAGGAUCUAUUGGAGGGCAAGUCUGGUGCCAGCAGCCGCGGUAAUACCAGCUCCAAAAGCGUAUAUUAAUGUUGUUGCAGUUAAAAAGUUCGUAGUCGGAUUUAUGCGCUGUUUUGGAUGUGCGGCCGUUACUUUUUGUGUGAUGGUAUGCACAUUGGCAGUGCUUUUGAGCGAAUGGGCAGCUUGUUGCUUAGUUGUGAUGGUUGUUUCGUUUACUCGGUUUACUGUGAGAAAAGUAGAGUGUUCAAAGCAAACUGUAGUGUUUGAAUAUGUUAGCAUGGAAUAAUGAGAUAGGAUUUUGGUUGAAUUUGGUUUUGUUAGCCGAAGUAAUGAUUGAUGGGGACAGUUGGGGGUGCUAGUAUUCAGCGGCCAGAGGUGAAAUUCAUGGAUUCGCUGAAGACUAACUUAUGCGAAAGCAUUCACCAAGGAUGUCUUCUUUCGAUCAAGAUCGAAAGUUGGGGGAUCGAAGACGAUCAGAUACCGUCGUAGUCUCAACCAUAAACUAUGCCGUCUGUGGAUUGGAUUCUAUUGUUUUUGAGAUGAAUUCAGCACACUAUGAGAAAUCAAAGAUUUUGGGUUCCGGGGGGAGUAUGGUCGCAAGGCUGAAACUUAAAGGAAUUGACGGAAGGGCACCACCAGGAGUGGAGGCUGCGGCUUAAUUUGACUCAACACGGGAAAACUUACCAGG